AGGGAAAUGCACUGGGGGAGGUUAUCCCAGA
RNAcentral lists this non-coding RNA (31 nucleotides) under Rattus norvegicus (Norway rat). The record is from RNAcentral. Lineage: Eukaryota; Metazoa; Chordata; Mammalia; Rodentia; Muridae.